Tachyglossus aculeatus (Australian echidna) is the source of this 743-nucleotide long non-coding RNA. RefSeq lists it as uncharacterized. The record is from RefSeq and is a predicted model, not a curated record. The transcript is spliced from 4 exons. Lineage: Eukaryota; Metazoa; Chordata; Mammalia; Monotremata; Tachyglossidae.
UCUGAAAACCCAAUCUCUCCAUUAGGUGCCCUUCAAUGGAGCAAGUGCUGCUGCCCCUUUAAAGUCCCAGAAGGAGAUGAUUGCUGCUCUGGAUCUAGAGGGACAAGGAAGGAGCCUGAGCCCCAGGUGCAUCCUGGAAGACCCUGCUCCCUGGUCCAACCCCGCCUCCCAAGGACGUGUUGGUGCAGACAGGACUGGACAGAAUGGAAGCCACAGCACAGCCCUGAACUGGACCACCCGACCCUGUGGACAGUGGAGGCUUGACCAGCUACUCACCUGAUGUUAUGGACACUCAUAGAUUGAUUGCGCCGGCCCCACCAUGAGGGAAUCGGUUGGCACAGGGCUGCUGCCCCCUGGACACUCCCCCACCCCAGCCCGCAACUGUAUCCCCUCCUUCCAGACAAUGCCAUUUCCUUUGGGGGUCAAGGGUCAAACACCGCAUCAUGGGUGCCAAACCAAUCUCUUGCAACUCUAGGAGGCGAUGGAGGGGUGUGUAUGUGUGUCUGUUUCUUGUGUGAGAGUGAGGGCUGGGACAGGAGCAGGGUGAGAGGGGCUGACCCUCUUUGGACGGGUAAAGGUUUCUGGAAACAGGGGUCUAGAGUCUGGCCUGUACUCCGUGGACCUCAAGACCGGGCGUGAAGUCGUCCUGGGGCCCUUAAUUCUAUAGUCAGUGCGUCUUACUCCCGCUCUGGUCCGUUGGGAGUUUUCGGGCCUGCUCUGGCUUCAAGAGUACAGACUCUCUU